RNAcentral lists this unclassified non-coding RNA (325 nucleotides) under uncultured fungus. RNAcentral describes it as "partial contains small subunit ribosomal RNA, internal transcribed spacer 1, and 5.8S ribosomal RNA". The stretch from base 1 to 73 matches the Rfam family "Eukaryotic small subunit ribosomal RNA", at positions 1759 to 1831 of the family's 1831-position model. The record is from RNAcentral. Lineage: Eukaryota; Fungi.
GCAAACUUGGUCAUUUAGAGGAAGUAAAAGUCGUAACAAGGUUUCCGUAGGUGAACCUGCGGAAGGAUCAUUAACAAGCCGUGAAGGUCGCCCCGAAAGGGGAGUGACCUCUCACCUGGCCACCCUUGUUUACUCUUAACCUGUUGCUUUGGUGGGCCCGCCGCAAGGCCGCUGGGGGACUUUGUUUGGUUCCCGGGCCAGUGCCCACCAAAGACCAAUGAACUCUGAGAGGGUUUUCUGCUGUCUGAGCUGUGCAAAUGCAAAAAGUCUAUUUAAAACUUUCAACAACGGAUCUCUUGGUUCUGGCAUCGAUGAAGAACGCAGC